This 507-nucleotide long non-coding RNA is filed under the name Coffea arabica (coffee). RNAcentral describes it as "long non-coding RNA (CARA_LNC004940)". Lineage: Eukaryota; Viridiplantae; Streptophyta; Magnoliopsida; Gentianales; Rubiaceae. The record is from RNAcentral.
ACGGAUCAAGAGAAAUCUCUACGGGUGCAACUGACCAAAUCUUUUUUGUUCUUUGUAAUUCGACUUUGAAAUGACAAAGCUACGUGCAAGAUAAUGAACUUAAAAGCCAAACAUUUGAUAAUUCGCCACCACCAGAAGUCAUCAUUUUCAUAUCAGUCAAUUUGUUAUCCUCCCUCUCUACAACCAGAAAAAAAGGAGAAACCACAUAUGAUAUCACAUCCCAACCAAGAACUCGAUCUCCUUUCUUCCUGCAACUAAUCAACUUUUGUCCAGGCCAAUGGAGGGGGGGAUGCACGUAACUGGAAAUCUGCUGCUGCCGCUCGCAGAAGAGAUGUUUAUUAGCUCAACAGGUGAGGGGGGGGGACCUAAUUUGCAGGAGAAGGGAUCACAGAUCACCUGAUUCAAAGAAGCCAAAGAGAGACCUGUUAAUUAAUUGAAUUCAAGAAACAAAUAUUAAUGGGGAUGCAUGUAAAUGUGUUCAGUAUUCAUGCUCUUUACCCCCCCCCC